GACGAACGCUGGCGGCGUGCUUAACACAUGCAAGUCGAGCGGAAAGGCCUGCUUUCCCUUGUGGAUUGCGGGUACUCGAGUGGCGAACGGGUGAGUAACACGUGAGUGAUCUGCCCCCAACUUGGGUAUAAGCCUGGGAAACUGGGUCUAAUUCCCGAUAGGACUGCAGGGUGGUGCCUGUGGUGGAAAACGAUUUUCCAGUGGUUGGGGAUGAGCUGGCGGCCUAUCAGCUUGUUGGUGGGGUAAUGGCCUACCAAGGCGGCGACGGGUAGCCGGCCUGAGAGGGUGGACGGCCACAUUGGGACUGAGAUACGGCCCAGACUCCUACGGGAGGCAGCAGUGGGGAAUAUUGCACAAUGGGCGGAAGCCUGAUGCAGCGACGCCGCGUGGGGGAUGACGGCCUUCGGGUUGUAAACUCCUUUCGACCGCGAGGAAGCCACCUGGUUGGAAGGGUGGUGACGGUAGUGGUAGAAGAAGCACCGGCUAACUACGUG
RNAcentral lists this ribosomal RNA (494 nucleotides) under uncultured bacterium. Its description in RNAcentral is "partial 16S ribosomal RNA". It matches the Rfam family "Bacterial small subunit ribosomal RNA", at positions 28 to 507 of the family's 1533-position model. The record is from RNAcentral.